Molecule: ribosomal RNA, 253 nt
Filed under: uncultured bacterium
Lineage: Bacteria
Description: partial 16S ribosomal RNA
Rfam family: Bacterial small subunit ribosomal RNA
Source: RNAcentral
UACGAAGGGGGCUAGCGUUGCUCGGAAUCACUGGGCGUAAAGGGUGCGUAGGCGGUUUUUUAAGUCAGAGGUGAAAUCCUGGAGCUCAACUCCAGAACUGCCUUUGAUACUGAGAAUCUUGAGUAUGGGAGAGGUGAGUGGAACUGCGAGUGUAGAGGUGAAAUUCGUAGAUAUUCGCAAGAACACCAGUGGCGAAGGCGGCUCACUGGCCCGGUACUGACGCUGAGGUGCGAAAGCGUGGGGAGCAAACAGG